GGAAAGGGUGUGGAUCAGGGGUAGAGCAUCUGCUUUUCAUGCAGGUCUGAGGUUCAAUUCCUGGCCUUUCCA
Molecule: non-coding RNA, 72 nt
Organism: Podarcis lilfordi (Lilford's wall lizard)
Lineage: Eukaryota; Metazoa; Chordata; Lepidosauria; Squamata; Lacertidae
Source: the annotation of a GenBank genome assembly